UACGGAGGGUGCAAGCGUUAUCCGGAUUCACUGGGGUUAAAGGGAGCGUAGGUGGGUCUGUAAGUCCGUGGUGAAAUCUCCGAGCUUAACUUGGAAACUGCCAUGGAUACUAUAGGUCUUGAAUAUUGUGGAGGUCAGCGGAAUAUGUCAUGUAGCGGUGAAAUGCUUAGAGAUGACAUAGAACACCAAUUGCGAAGGCAGCUGGCUACGCAUAUAUUGACACUGAGGCUCGAAAGCGUGGGGAUCAAACAGG
RNAcentral lists this ribosomal RNA (253 nucleotides) under uncultured bacterium. Its description in RNAcentral is "partial 16S ribosomal RNA". It matches the Rfam family "Bacterial small subunit ribosomal RNA", at positions 524 to 776 of the family's 1533-position model. The record is from RNAcentral.